GGGAGUUUUCCAUGAGGAUUAGAAAGACAUCAGCUAGAGAAUUGGUUUUAAAAGUUAUUAUUCUAUUCUGUUGCACAUCAUGGAGUGCUCUUUAGAAAAGUAAUUUACUGUUCUUUUUCACCAGCGAUUGCUCUCAGUUCCCUAAGACAGUGCUUUACAGAACACAUUUCUAUUCUAGUAGGAAAACCCUGGUCAGCCUGGCUAUUGAUUUACUCACUCGAAAUGUACCAGCAGAGCAAACGUGGAAAUUAAGUGCACAAAGGGCAACACAGCCUAUCUACAGAUGAUCAAAAUGGAAAGAAAUCUCAUACUGUAUGGUGACAUUCAACUCCCUGUGUCAUACAGAUGCAAAUGGAUCUACAGCAGCAGUGCAGUUUCCACCAGCCUGCAGCACCUGCUGUACAUAAGAACGUCUCUGAUGCAUAACCCCGCUUUUACCAUGAUUCAGCCAAUCCACUUUCCUUUUACCACGAUCCUUGUUUUGGGAUUAAUAGCGGCUCCAUCGUUCCCCACUCCUCCCUGUUUGUUUAUGAGCACCUUUCCCUGCGUCGUAAAUGGGCAGCGAUGAAACUGGAAGGCUCAAAGGGAUAAGAUCUGAUGCGACAGUGGUCCUAUAGUCCUAUGCGACAGUGGUUUUCAUAAUAAGCUCAAUUAUGAAAACAGUUUUCAUCUGUUGUCUAAUAAUCCAUAGUUGCAUUUCAUACAUUAUAACAUAAACAUAAAGAAUACAGUUUUUGGCAAAUCAAGAGACGUUGUUAGCUACCAUUACUAUGCUUUCUGCAUCAUGAAAAUAUAAAGACAG
This is a long non-coding RNA of Lepisosteus oculatus (spotted gar), 802 nucleotides long. RefSeq lists it as uncharacterized. NCBI's taxonomy places the organism in Eukaryota, Metazoa, Chordata, Actinopteri, Semionotiformes, Lepisosteidae. The record is from RefSeq and is a predicted model, not a curated record.